RNAcentral lists this ribosomal RNA (425 nucleotides) under uncultured bacterium. RNAcentral describes it as "bacterial SSU rRNA". It matches the Rfam family "Bacterial small subunit ribosomal RNA", at positions 356 to 773 of the family's 1533-position model. The record is from RNAcentral.
GGGGAAUUUUGGACAAUGGGGGAAACCCUGAUCCAGCCAUCCCGCGUGUGCGAUGAAGGCCUUCGGGUUGUAAAGCACUUUUGGCAGGGAAGAAACGGCCCGGGAUAAUACCCUGGGUUAAUGACGGUACCUGCAGAAUAAGCACCGGCUAACUACGUGCCAGCAGCCGCGGUAAUACGUAGGGUGCAAGCGUUAAUCGGAAUUACUGGGCGUAAAGCGUGCGCAGGCGGUUCGGAAAGAAAGGUGUGAAAUCCCAGGGCUUAACCUUGGAACUGCACUUUUAACUACCGGGCUAGAGUACGUCAGAGGGGGGUAGAAUUCCACGUGUAGCAGUGAAAUGCGUAGAGAUGUGGAGGAAUACCGAUGGCGAAGGCAGCCCCCUGGGAUGAUACUGACGCUCAUGCACGAAAGCGUGGGGAGCAAAC